UGGGAGAGCCCCGACUCUCCACCCGCCCAGGCCCCACGGCCUCACAUGCCUUCCACUCCCUCCCCCGGGGGUGGGGGGUGACCGCCAGAAGGACACGCUCUGCAAUCCUAAGCACCAGGCAGGCCCCCCCCCCCCCCCCGCCCCGGGGAAGACCCAGAGUCCUAGUGGAUGAGGUGGGCUGGGGAGGGGUGAGGACGGGGAGUGUCACGUGGGGCCCAGAAUCAGGAGCACCCUUCACACGUCAGGCGCCUGGGGCUCAACUUCCUCUGCUGGGGGCUUCCCUGCUGCCCUGCCCACUGCCCGGCCCAGCGUCGGGGGCAGGUCCGAGUGCAUCCUCCUGCCAGGAUGCUGCUGUUGCUGUUCUUGGCCCUGCUGUGGGCCGGGUCCCCGGCUCAGGACCUAGCAUUCUCACUCCAAGUGCCGCGGGUGGUGACGGCGCAGGAGGGCCUGUGUGUGCGCGUGCCCUGCACCCUCUCCUACCCCCAGAUCGGCUGGACGGACGAGACCCCCGCUCUUGGCUACUGGUUCCUAGUCGGGACAGAAUCGAACAUCGGAAGGCCAGUGGCCACGAACGACCAGAAUCGAGCAGUGCAGACCGUGCCCCAAGAUCGGUUCCAGCUCGUCGGCGAUCCCCAGAACCGGAGCUGCUCCCUGCUCAUCAGAGAGGCCCAGGUGGAGGACUCGGCCUUGUACUUCUUUCGUGUGGAGAGAGGCCAUUUCGUCCGAUACAAUUUUAUGAAAAACCAGUUCUAUCUGGAAGUGACAGCCCUGACACAGAAGCCAGACAUCUACGUCCCAGAGAUCCUGGAGCCAGGAAGCCAGGCGACCCUCAUCUGUGUGUUUAACUGGGACUUUAAGGAAUGUCCAGCCCCUACUUUCUCCUGGAUGGGGGCCGCCGUCCCCGCCCCAGAAACCAGACCAACGUCCUCCUACUUCUCAGUGCUUACUCUCACACCGAGACCCCAGGACCACGGCACCCACCUCACCUGCCGCGUAGACUUCUCCAGGAAGGGCGUGAGCGCAGAGAGGACCGUCAGACUCAAUGUCGCCCAUGGCCCCAAAGACCUGGUCAUCAGCAUUUCCCGUGCCAACACUUCAGCCCUGGAGCCCCAGGGAAAGAGCCCACAUCUGGAGGCUGAGAAAGGCCAGUUCCUGCGACUGCUCUGUGCUGCUGACAGCCAGCCCCCUGCCACACUGAGCUGGGCCCUGGAGGACAGGGUCCUCUCUAGGUCCCACCCCCAGAGCUCCGGAACCCUCGAGCUGGUGCUGCCGAGGGUAAAGCCUGGGGAUUCAGGCCGCUACACCUGCCAAGCCGAGAACAGGCUUGGCUCCCAGAGUGGCACCCUGGACCUCUCUGUGCAGUAUGCCCCAGAGAACCUGAGCGUGAAGGUCCUGCACGCGAACAGGACAGUCCUGGAAAACCUCGGGAAUGGCACGUCCCUCCCAGUCCUAGAGGGCCAAAGCUUGUGUCUGCUCUGUGUCGCCCACAGCAACCCCCCAGCCCAGCUGAGCUGGGUGCUGGGGGGACAGACUCUAAGCCCCUCCCAGCCCGCAGACCCUGGGAUCCUGGAGCUGCCUCAGAUUCAAAUGGAGCAUAAAGGAGACCUCACCUGCCAAGCUCAGAACUCGCUGGGCUCUCAGCACGUCUCCCUGCAUCUCUCUGUGGUCUACCCCCCGCAGCUGCUCCCCCCCUCCUGCUCCUGGGAGGGCGAGGGGCUGCACUGCAACUGCUCCUCCCAAGCCCAGCCUGCCCCCACCCUGCGCUGGCGGCUGGGGGAGGGGCUGCUGGAGGGGAACCACAGCAACGCCUCCUGGACGGUCACCUCCAGCUCUGCAGGGCCCUGGGCCAACAGCUCCCUGAGCCUCAGUGGGUCGCUGGGCUCCGGCCUCAGACUCAGCUGCGAGGCCCGGAAUGCACACGGGUCCCAGAUCGUCGCUGUCCUGCUGCUGCCAGAUAAGGGACUGGUCUCAAACGCAUUCUCCAACGGAACAUUUCUGGGAAUUGGCAUCAUGACCCUGCUUUUCCUCUGCCUCCUCCUGGUCAUCAGGAAGACUCUGAGGAAGAAACAGACCCCUGAGGGGACUCCGACCCAGGCGGGGACUCGAACUCGGGAGGGGACUCAGACCCAGGCGAGGACUCCACCGAGGCCCAGGGCCGCACGGAGGAGCACGAUCCUGGACUAUAUCAAUGUGUUCCCUACCCCUGGCCCCCUGGCUCGGAAUCAGAAAGCCACCCCAAGCAGUCCUUCCCGGGCCCCUCCUCCAGGUGCUCACUCCCUGGAAUUUAAGAAGAACCAGAAGGAGCUACGUGUUGCCCAUGCUUGUCCAGGACCCAAAUCAUUCACUCAAGCCUCAGAAUCAGAGAAUAACCAAGAGGAGCUCCAUUAUUCAACCCUCCACUUCUCAGGCGUCCGACCAUGGGAGACCCAGGAGCCCAAGGAUCCCUGCUCGGAGUACGCAGACAUCAAGUUCCACUGAGGCUGCCUCGGGCUGCCGCCCUGCAGGGCUGGGGUCCAGAAUAGGCAGAAUGGAGAGGAAGAGUAACAGAAGCGGAUGUUGAGAAUGAGUUCAAGAGCAGCCACGGCAAAAACGGCUAAGCUGUGUGACAAGACAGGAAGUCCCCAGAGUGAGGUCUCUCAGGCAAGGACACCACAUGGCGGUUGUGGGGCAGAUGCGUUCUCCGACCCAGGAAUCUAAGGAAGAGCAAACACACGAGGGGCACGGAAGUGGAAAUGCUUUCAAAAUGGAAUGAAAAAACCAACUUCACAAUGUGCUCUAAACAACCGGCUGGCGAAGAGAGAAGAAGACAGCCACAGCUUAUAAAUCUUCUCUCUUAUGAAUGAAAUGGCCUCAGCUUUGUGGUACCAAGGAUCUCCUGGUGACACCUGAACAAAUCACUCUGGUUCCCAGAUGAAGAUCACUACAGCAAAUAAUGAAGAAGAGAAGAAGAGGAGGAGGAAGAAGAAGAAGGAGAAAAGAAAGAAAGAAGAAAGAAAGAAAGAAAGAAAGAAAGAAAGAAAGAAAGAAAGAAAGAAAGGGGCACCUGGGUGGCUCAGUCGGUUAAGCGUCUGCCUUCCGCUCAGGUCAUGGUCCCAGGGUUCUGGGCUGGAGCUCCGCAUGGAGCCCUUCAUUAGGCUCCCUUCUCAGCGGAGAAUCCGCUUCUUCUCCCUCUCCCCUCCUGCUCUCUCUUUCUCUCUCUCUCAAAUAAAUAAAUAAGAUCUUUAAGGGAAAAAAAAAGGGAGGAGGAGAUUUUGAGUUGGAAUUUUCCAAGGGUUCCCUUAUGCAGAUAUUAUUAGCUCUCUGUUUUACAGUUGAGUAAACUGACGCACUAAAAGGUUACAGACGCUCCCAACACCCCACGCACGAUUAGUAAGAUUCAGUCCCAGGCAAUCUGACUCCAGAGCCCAGGCUCUUAGUCAUGACCCUCUAGCGGUCUCCUGGUGGACGGUUGGACAGAGGAUGACUUAUAAAGAGGUGUGCAGACGCAGUACACGGGAAGGAUAAAGGACUCGCACCUGUGUCCAUAUUCCACCACUUCCUCCCAGAAUAAGUGAAGGCAAGUGACUUUUUCCCCAUGUAUUAAAAUGACUCAAAGUUGCGUCGUAAUGAUUGAAUAGAGACCCCAGAUGAAGGUAUUUAUACACCGUAAACCAUCACCCAGACAUUGACUAUGACUACCUGAGUAUCACUAAGUGUGAUUAUUUAAGCAUGGGGGGUAUUCUUCUUUGAUUAGAAGAACAGAGAAUUUAUUGAGAU
Molecule: RNA transcript, 3756 nt
Organism: Ailuropoda melanoleuca (giant panda)
Lineage: Eukaryota; Metazoa; Chordata; Mammalia; Carnivora; Ursidae
Gene: SIGLEC10
Gene name: sialic acid binding Ig like lectin 10
Exons: 13
Source: RefSeq, a predicted model, not a curated record